AGUGAACGCUGGCGGUAGGCCUAACACAUGCGAGUCGAACGGCAGCACAGUAAGAGCUUGCUCUUACGGGUGGCGAGUGGCGGACGGGUGAGGAAUACAUCGGAAUCUACUUUUUCGUGGGGGAUAACGUAGGGAAACUUACGCUAAUACAGCAUACGACCUACGGGUGAAAGCAGGGGAUCUUCGGACCUUGCGCGAUUGAAUGAGCCGAUGUCGGAUUAGCUAGUUGGCGGGGUAAAGGCCCACCAAGGCGACGAUCCGUAGCUGGACUGAGAGGAUGUUCAGCCACACUGGAACUGGGACACGGUCCAGACUCCUACGGGAGGCAGCAGUGGGGAAUAUUGGACAAUGGGCGCAAGCCUGAUCCAGCCAUACCGCGUGGGUGAAGAAGGCCUUCGGGUUGUAAAGCCCUUUUGUUGGGAAAGAAAAGCAGCAGGUUAAUACCCCGCUGUUCUGACGGUACCCAAAGAAUAAGCACCGGCUAACUUCGUG
This 492-nucleotide ribosomal RNA is filed under the name uncultured bacterium. Its description in RNAcentral is "partial 16S ribosomal RNA". It matches the Rfam family "Bacterial small subunit ribosomal RNA", at positions 29 to 507 of the family's 1533-position model. The record is from RNAcentral.